UACUUCCUGCAGUUGCCAUACGACAAGAGGCAUCAGUCUUGAGUCUUGACUCUUGACCACAGUAGUGAUUCAAGCCUGACCACAUCCAGCUAGACAUCUCUUGUUUCUAAAGAUUUUCAUGAUUUUAAUCAAUGGCCGUAAGUUAAAAUUACAUGCAAACAUGCAACCCUCUGGGAUAAAAAGGACUUGCGCAAUACCAUAAAGAAGAAAGAGAGUAAUGUAUGACACAGCAGGUAAUAGGCAGUGCAGGUUUGAACAGAUAUAGGUGGAGAGCAUUCAUGUAAUUGAUGGCAUCUUCAGAACUAAAGCUGCAGAAUGCAACAAGAAGGGAAUACUAAGAUAUGUCAAACGCUGUGUCAUCAUCGACUGUAAAGUUUGACAGCUAUAGCUCGGAGAAAGUUGCAAGAGUGACAAGAGUCAUUUGAUUGAACUAUUCGCAGUUCACAAGGAAAGAGUAAACAUAUCAGGUCAUGGUGCAAAAUCAAAGGUCAGGUGUGAAAUAUAUUGGUUAAGCAAAGUUCGACAUAACUUUCGCAGCAUUGAAAUGUGUGCUUGAAACAUCGUCUAUUCUGAAUUCAAUGGUAAUUAUAAUCAUACUUGUGACAGGAUCCAAAAUAGGGAUGUUAGAAGUACCGUGAGGUUCACAAAGAAGCCCGGACAGGUAGAUGCAUACAAAUGUUGUGGAUGCUGUGGUGGAAUCGAUGUGCUCUGGGGAUGUACAUGCCAUUGUGGACUUAUUGGCUACAGCAGCAAAUAAAAAAGACCCAAUCCCAUUUGAAAACUACUCAUUUCUUUGGUAACUCAUUUAAUGGAGCGGCAAUUAUGCUAAAAUGCCGCACAAAUCGCCGAUAGAAACCUGCACGAUCAGGUAAGCCUCU
Molecule: long non-coding RNA, 878 nt
Organism: Phragmites australis (common reed)
Lineage: Eukaryota; Viridiplantae; Streptophyta; Magnoliopsida; Poales; Poaceae
Exons: 3
Source: RefSeq, a predicted model, not a curated record